RNAcentral lists this long non-coding RNA (842 nucleotides) under Salvia miltiorrhiza (redroot sage). RNAcentral describes it as "long non-coding RNA (SMIL_LNC004957)". The record is from RNAcentral. Lineage: Eukaryota; Viridiplantae; Streptophyta; Magnoliopsida; Lamiales; Lamiaceae.
CCAAACGAAAAUUAGAAUAAACCCCCAAACCCUUUUGCCGCUCGAAGCCUCUGCCUGUGCUGAAACAGGUGCCGCGGCGCCAGCCUUGCGCCACCACCACCUGCCGCUCGCGCCACCACCGUCGGCCGUCGCACCACCGGGUCCAUCACCGUCGGCCGUCGCGCCACAUCCCCUGAAUUUGUAUCAGAGACACCGAGAGAGGUAGAUACUAGAUAGAAAUAUAAAAAUUGAAAUUCUGACUGAAUUUGUGAGAAUGUAAUGUAAUUUUUGUGUACUAUUUUUGAAUUUGUGAGAAUGAAAUAUAUCUGAUUUGUGAAUUGUUAUAGUGGACGGUGGGUUAUUUGAUUUUUUUGGUGCGCUGAAUCUGACGGAGCGACGGUGAGGUGAGGUAGAAGACGUCAAGAGGGGGAAGGGAUUAAUUAAAUAAAAAUUCAUUUGUGAUUAAUUAAACAAAAAUUCGCAUGGGAUGGGUUUUAUUUUAGUGGGUUGUGAUCAUAAUUUGUUUGAUUAUUUUAGUAGGUUUUAAUUUAUAUCUUUUGAUUCAGUGGAUUUAUUAAUUUCGAUUAAUGUAAUUUCCUAUCUUUGAUUAUUUUAUUAAUUUUGAUUAAUUUAAUUUUAUAGGAAAUGGAACGUUUUUUUUCUAAAAAACGUAGAGGUGAAUCUUCAAGUCGUUCAAUUACACCUUUUAUUGGAGCAAAUGUAGAAGUUGAAGAGAAUGUGGAAACAGAAACAAAUUUUAAUGAAUAUGUUCGUGAUCCGGGAUUAAGGAAACCAAUUGAUGAGUUUGAUAUUGCUAUUCGAGAUCAAGUACGUAGAGAAUAUUGGUCUAUGGGGCCUUGUCA